Molecule: non-coding RNA, 21 nt
Organism: Caenorhabditis elegans
Lineage: Eukaryota; Metazoa; Nematoda; Chromadorea; Rhabditida; Rhabditidae
Source: Ensembl
UUGUGGGCCUUAUUUUCUGUG